AUUGAACGCUGGCGGCAGGCUUAACACAUGCAAGUCGAGCGGGGGAAGGUAGCUUGCUACCGGACCUAGCGGCGGACGGGUGAGUAAUGCUUAGGAAUCUGCCUAUUAGUGGGGGACAACAUCUCGCAAGGGAUGCUAAUACAGCAUACGUCCUACGGGAGAAAGCAGGGUAGCUUCGGACGUUGCGCUAAUGGAUGAGCCUAAGUCGGAUUAGCUAGUGGGUGGGGUAAAGGCCUACCAAGGCGACGAUCUGUAGCGGGUCUGAGAGGAUGAUCCGCCACACUGGGACUGAGACGCGGCCCAGACUCCUACGGGAGGCAGCAGUGGGGAAUAUUGGACAAUGGGGGGAACCCUGAUCCAGCCAUGCCGCGUGUGUGAAGAAGGCCUUAUGGUUGUAAAGCACUUUAAGCGAGGAGGAGGCUACUUUAGUUAAUACCUAGAGAUAGUGGACGUUACUCGCAGAAUAAGCACCGGCUAACUCUGUGCCAGCAGCCGCCGUAA
This 501-nucleotide ribosomal RNA is filed under the name uncultured bacterium. RNAcentral describes it as "partial 16S ribosomal RNA". It matches the Rfam family "Bacterial small subunit ribosomal RNA", at positions 30 to 523 of the family's 1533-position model. The record is from RNAcentral.